RNAcentral lists this long non-coding RNA (445 nucleotides) under Calidris pugnax (ruff). RNAcentral describes it as "lncRNA (ENSCPUG00000016972.1)". Lineage: Eukaryota; Metazoa; Chordata; Aves; Charadriiformes; Scolopacidae. The record is from RNAcentral.
GGAUACUCCGCUGCACCACCAGCCGUACGGCACUGUGUGGAGACUGUCUGACUGUCGUCUCGGAAAGCAUUGCUGGGGUAUUUUUACUGGAUGCAGGCGGAGGGACUGAUCUUGGAAGGAAACUUCAUGUGAAGUCCCCAGCCCGUUUGCAGAUUCAUGUGCUGGUCAAUUUCUGGAUGAGAUUUCAGCUUUCUCAGGGGAGCUGCAGGAAGUGGGAAGAUCCCUGAAAUCUCUCCUAAGCUGUCUCAGAACAGGGACUGGACCAGCCCAAAGGCCCCCGGAGUUGUGGCUCACCAGCAUAGUUUGGGAAUGGAGCAUCCCCCAUCUGCCACAGCAGUGCUGUGGGGUGGAGCAGGUAAGCACCACCUGAUUGUGACAUGCGACAGGCUAGAUACCCUGGGGCACCAGCAAUAUUAAGCCAACACCACUUCUCAGUGCUCUGCUU